Molecule: ribosomal RNA, 253 nt
Filed under: uncultured bacterium
Lineage: Bacteria
Description: partial 16S ribosomal RNA
Rfam family: Bacterial small subunit ribosomal RNA
Source: RNAcentral
UACGUAGGGUGCGAGCGUUGUCCGGAAUUAUUGGGCGUAAAGGGCUCGUAGGCGGUUUGUCGCGUCGGGUGUGAAAACACCGGGCUUAACUCGGUGCUUGCUUUCGAUACGGGCAGACUAGAGGUAUUCAGGGGAGAACGGAAUUCCUGGUGUAGCGGUGAAAUGCGCAGAUAUCAGGAGGAACACCGGUGGCGAAGGCGGUUCUCUGGGAAUAUCCUGACGCUGAGGAGCGAAAGUGUGGGGAGCGAACAGG